GUGAGGUCAUAGACAUAUAUACUUACUCUAAUAAUUAUCUAUAUGAUUAAGUAGAAAUAAAUAAAAGUAGAUAAGAAUAGAUUAAUUUCAUAAUAUCUUCUUGAAAAGCUUUUUAGAACCUUUAUAGAUACAAUUUUGACUUUAUAUAUUUUUACAGUUGACUUUUAGGUUAGAAAUUUGAUCAAUAAAUUAGCCACAUGUCACACGUUGUUGUAUUGUGUGAUUUUCUAUGUGAAAAUAUACUAGGUACCUAGCUGUAGAGAGUUUAGUUUUAACUUAUUGGCCAAGCUUCAAUAAGUUAUUUAACAUUAAAGGUAGAAGACAAAUAAAUACUACAACAUCAAAAAGAUAUUAUACUAAUAAAUCCUUUUAUAUUUAAGAAGGUUUGUAUAUAAGGCUUUCUAAAAUAUCUAGAAAUUUUCUAACACUCUUGGAUAUACCAAAUCAUAGCUAACCAUUUGCUGGUAGAUUAGGUUUUUGAUAACUUCAAAAGAAAUCCACAAUCUCCUCUCAAAAGUCCAUCUUUACACAAGAAUUCAACAAUAGCUCUAUAUAUCCAUCUUCAACAUAUAUAUGAAGUCUUAGCUUCCAAAAUACUUCUUUAUUUUGUAUUAAAUGUUCAAAUUAUAACAAAAAUCCUUCAAAAUAUAAUAUUCCUGCAAAUGAUUUCUUCUUUCCAAACUUUAGAAAUUCAUAUCUCUUGAUCCAACUAUUCAGAUUUUUCCAAAUUCAUGGAUAUUAUAGAAUUCACCUUUGAUCUUUAUUGUACAAAAAUUCAAUUAUAAAUUUGCUAUUGAUCAUUUGGCAUCUUAAAAAUCCUAGCAAGUGCUCUAAAAUCCUAAUUUACAAGCACCUAAGUACUAUUUUCUUUAUAUCUCACCAAUCUAAAAUCCAAAUAUCACAAAACUUAUAGAUAAUGUUUUAUUAUAUAAAAAUACAUAUUUUUAGAAAGUUUUAGCCAAAAUCUUAUCAAAUUGCAUAAGAUAUAACUCAAAACACAACUACUAGCAAUUUGUGUCACUUACUACCCUUAGAUUUACAAGCACUGAUUUCAACCUCCAAUAUGUUAUUUACUAAAACUUGAAAUCCAUCAAACAAUAUACCAAAAAUGUAGCCGAAAGAGUGCUCUCUCCAACCUUAGUCGUCGAUCCUUUAUUGCUAUCUAUAUGCGUGCGUUAUAUCCAAAAGCAUGACAAUAGGUACAAAAUCAAUAUCUUAACUUUGAGCACUCAUAUCUCUUUUAUAUAAACUCUAAAUGAAACAAAAUUUGUACCAAAAACAUAGCCAAAAACCUAAACUUGCUGACCUUAGCCUCCAAAGCUUAAAUGCCUUCGAAAAACUAACCCUAAUCUCUAAUAUGGCCUCGGGCAGCCUCCUUGAAGCCCACUCGUCAUGAUUUUUGAUCAAUAGGAAUGGAGAUUUUCAUCAUCCAUCUCCAUUCAUCCAUAUAGAUGUCCUUACUUCUCUUAUUUGCUACCAAGAUCCUUC
Molecule: long non-coding RNA, 1488 nt
Filed under: Physcomitrium patens
Lineage: Eukaryota; Viridiplantae; Streptophyta; Bryopsida; Funariales; Funariaceae
Description: long non-coding RNA (PPAT_LNC014931)
Source: RNAcentral